CACAGGAGCCUGGGAGCAGCUGGGCCUCCAUCUGCCCAGGUUCCAGCCAGCAGGGGCGGCAGCACCUCCUUUGUGUCUGUGUGUCUGUGUGUGUGCCCGUGCAGGACCGCAGAAUGUCAUGCAGCUCCUCACCUGUGGGAGAGACAACCCAUUAGGAUGCGGGUGGAAGCAGUGAGGCUCAGCCCUUCUAAAGGGAGGACGUGGCAGCUCAGCUCUGGGACCGGAGGACCACAGCCAGCCCUUUUCUGCUUCCACUGGGGAGAGCUCAAGGGGGCAGGUAAGAGUAACGAGUCUCUCUUUGCCAGAUAUCACCUACCAGGGAAGUGGAAGAGAUGGGCCUGGAACCCCCAGUUUUUCGUUCUGGAUUUUUUUUUUUUCUUUUUCCUUCUUGAGACCAGACUGUUGACCAAGCCCAAAGCAGUAAACAGAAGACCACUCUGCCUGACCGCUCCCACAGUCCUGGGGCGGGGAAGGACGUCCGACCCCAGCCAGGCCUACAGGGAGAGUAGGUGUCAGUGGGCAUCCUGAGGCAACGAGAGAGUUCCUGUGGGUCCCCUCCAGGUCAUGAGAACUUCAGCAGGACUCUUCACCUCUCUGAGCCCUCAGUUUACACAGCUGAAAAUGGGCCUAUUACUUGUGCCCUGUCCAUGUCACAAGAGGCAAGCGCUGAGCGGGAGAAGCUGGGGUUGGUGCCCCUGAAGGAGCUGCGCCUGUCAACACCCAGGCUGCGGGCACAUCCCACGAGGGCCUCAGGAGGGUCGUGUGAGCAAAGACUCCAGCACCCAGAGGGGGCAAAGUCAGACCUCAGCCCCUGCCCCACGCAGGGGCCCAGCCCAGGCGAUGGCACCCCUGCCCUCAACAGCUACACACCUCCCAGUUGCCUCGGUCCCCUGAGCCAAGAAAGCUCCUACUAUCUCUCCACCUGAGCUCCUGGCAGCGCUCUCCGUCCUGACCUUGCUGUGUGUCUUUAGGUUCAACCCUACCCCUCUCUGACACGCUGGCUUCUCGGCCCUCAAAGGAGGGGAGUGGACACCUCACUCUUCAUAGCCUCUUCUGGCCCUGGAAAACCACUCCAGGCUCUCUCUGAGCACCUUGGAUGGGUACAGGUACAUCUGGCCUCCCCGGUGUAAGGGAGGCUGGAGAGGCCUGAGGCCGGGGAGGGGGAAGCCAGUUCCCCAUAUCGUGGAACUUCUAGUGGUGGCCAAGAGACAAGCCCGAUCGAAGAAAACACUUGUAGUUUCACCCAGACCUGAUUCAUUCAUUUCAUUACUCAUUUGCUUAGCGAGCACCUACAAUACGCCAGGGACCAUGCUGGGCUCUGAGCACAUAGCAGUGAAAAAGGUGGGCAUGGGGGCUCCCCGGUGGCCCCCAAGCUUGUCAUCUGGUAGAAGAGACAGCAGAGUCCACAAACAGAUUGACAUAGCGACAAUGUGUGAUUGAUGCUUUAAAGGUUAUGAAGGAGCACGGAGGCAGAGAAUAAUUGUGGAGGGGAGGGGAGAUUAAUAAUCUUUAGAUGAGGGGCUGACCCUGGCCUCUUCGAGGGGUGACCUUAGAACUGAGACCUGAAGGGUGAGAGGGAGCCAGCCACAUGUCUUCUUAGGUGAGGUGGGUGACUGUGCCAAGGGGCCCCAGGAAGCCCUCGUGGCGGAGGCAGAAUGAGACAGGAUGGGGGAGGCGGGAAUGCAGGGGAAGUGGGAGAAGCAGCCAGAUCUUAUAUGAAGUUUUACUUUUUCCCCAAGACCCAUGGAAGGCCCAUGAGAUGCAAGGAAGAGGCAGUGACUUGAUCAAACCCACAUUUUCCACAUAUUCGUAAGCUCCGCCAGCUCCUGUUUGCAACAGAGAUGGUUAGGGAGUGAGGGGGCCAGUGAGGAGCCUGACAGAGGUCUCCAAAGUGGGGUGCAAACACCCCAGGAGGUGUGCAAGGUAAUUCUCUGAGGGGAAAGGAAUAUUAAGAAUUGUUAUUUCUAUUUCCAUUUCAUCCAAGAAAAAAGGAAAAGAAUUCAGUUUUACCAGUAUUUAUAGAUUGACGCUGAUGUCCAUAUUUGGUCUUUAUGUCAAACAUUACUGCACGGAAGAUUGGGCUGACAGGCGGCCUUUUUCUUCGCUGUCAGCAUUUUGAAGAACUUUUCUCUUCAUGUGAGACCAGUUCAGCAGAUUUCUAGAUGAGAAUACCCUUCAAGUGAUUUUUCACCAAGUGGACAGAGGACUUAAAAAGAAAGCAGGAAAAAGAGGGAUGAAAAAGGAAGAAACCCUGAACAUAAUGCAUGCACUUGAAUCCAGAGCGAGGCAUGGUUGUGGGCCCUUCACUCCCUGGCAUCUGCUCCGACAGCCACCAGAGAAGCAAACACUGUGAUAAUCCAACUGGGUCUAAAAAGAAAAUGGUCCCCAAAGUUCAAAUAUGAGUGAGAAGACAACUUGCAAUAAGAAUUUAUAUCCACUAUCAUUACUAAUGAGCCUAACUAUAAGCAUAGAUUUUUGGUUUGCGAUCUUAGCUAAUGAUGGCAUAAAACCAUUCACACUUAUUAAAACAUUAAAAAAUAUUAUUUUAAUCUGAUUUAA
Molecule: long non-coding RNA, 2559 nt
Organism: Eubalaena glacialis (North Atlantic right whale)
Lineage: Eukaryota; Metazoa; Chordata; Mammalia; Artiodactyla; Balaenidae
Exons: 6
Source: RefSeq, a predicted model, not a curated record